CAGUCGUACUGGCGGGCAAUCAGCCUUUCGGGUGCGAUUCUGUGGAGUGUGAUGAGCUUAACACCUUCAUGCUUUGCAUAUUUGUGCACUUUGGGUGUACUUGCUCGUGUGGUAGGUUAACAUCAAUUUUGAUCGUCAUAAAAUGAUCGGGGGAAUGUAGCUUCGAUCUUGUAUUGAAGUGUUAUAGCCUUCGGUAGAUGUGAUGAUUGGGAUUGAGGAUUGCAACGGAUACCCUUCGGGGCUACCUGUCUGAUCUCUGAAAGUUGCUCUGGUGCCGAAAGCUCGCUUACGGUAUUAAAGUUGACGUUCAACAGGUUAGAACGGGAUAAA
RNAcentral lists this ribosomal RNA (330 nucleotides) under Glomus sp. Its description in RNAcentral is "partial large subunit ribosomal RNA". Lineage: Eukaryota; Fungi; Glomeromycota; Glomeromycetes; Glomerales; Glomeraceae. The record is from RNAcentral.